CACUAAACAAUAUAUUAUUCGUAAAAUCCCAAUCUAAAUUCCUUUAUCCCAGCUUAAAAUUCGUUUCAUGGCCCUUUAACUGAUCAACUUUUUACCAUACUGGCGAUGUAGCAGAAAAAAGAAAUAUGUUUCAUAAUACCUUCCAACUUUUACGUCAGAUAGUGCGAGCUGGCACCCAUUACUAGACACGCAGGUAUUCCGUUUCCUAAUUCGUUUGUCACUGUGUUCAUGAAAUUGCAAAAUCCUGGGUGUGCCUUGUGUGUUAUCCUCGUUGCUGUCUGGUUAGCUUGAUGCAGUUGGAGGCUGCACUUGCUUUGUUUCUAAUUACUGUCAUUGCUUUUUGUGUUUAUUCGUAGGCAUCUCAGCUGUUCCCGUAUGUCCCUCGUUACCUUUUGAGCAUCUUCAGGAACCUGACUGCGGGCAGCAAUUCGUAUGGAACUCGUGCAGCCUUCAGGUCAUAGUGAUGGAGCAGAACUGUUUGAGGAGUCCUGCUGCCCACUGAAAGUCAACGAGGACAUCUCUUUUAAAUGCUGUUUCUGCACUUAUGUCACUAGAGAUCAGCGCCGAAUCAUGAGCCAUCUGGUUUCUCAUGGUGGUGAACAACUCAAGUUCCUGCGUCCUUUCAUGUCCUCUGGCUCUAGGUUCAAAGUGCACAGUGACACACAGCACACAAGUGAUAAGCUGUUGAAAUGCAACUUGUACCCUCAAGCCUUCGCUCAGGAUACCCAUCUUGCUGAUUGCGAUCAAGCUGGCACAAGUAAAAAGCAAUACAGGUGCAAGCUGUGUCAGCAAGCAUUUACUCGGAAUUCCCAUCUGACCAUUCAUAACCGAACACACACUGGUGAAAAACCUUUCAAGUGCAAUCUGUGUCCGCAAGCCUUUGCUCGAAAGUCCGGUCUAACUAGCCAUAUUAUAGCGCACGCAACUGGAAAACGUUAUAAGAUCAAGCAGUGCCCCUGAAUGUUUGCUCAGAGGGUUGAUCUGACGCACUAUAAUCAAACGCACAGGGGUGAAAAACGUUACAAGUGGAAGGAG
RNAcentral lists this unclassified non-coding RNA (1035 nucleotides) under Ixodes scapularis (black-legged tick). RNAcentral describes it as "zinc finger protein 525-like, transcript variant X1". The record is from RNAcentral. Lineage: Eukaryota; Metazoa; Arthropoda; Arachnida; Ixodida; Ixodidae.